This is a long non-coding RNA of Polyodon spathula (Mississippi paddlefish), 410 nucleotides long. RefSeq lists it as uncharacterized. NCBI's taxonomy places the organism in Eukaryota, Metazoa, Chordata, Actinopteri, Acipenseriformes, Polyodontidae. The transcript is spliced from 3 exons. The record is from RefSeq and is a predicted model, not a curated record.
ACGGAAUCGAUGCACACUGCACCACAGUAAAUAAAGACUGUUAAAUCUGUCUCGUAUUUUUUUAACUUCCACGGACAGAAAGCCAGUUAAGUGUAUUGCAUAACAGUCUCACUUUCGGGGUGUCAUUUUCACUUUUGUUUAUUACUUGUUUGCUGAUUUCUCAGAAAUGGUGUGCAUUCUCUUGAGUCGAACAAGAUUAAUACAAGAAUUUACUGGGUUGUUUUUUUUGUUAUUAUCAUUUGCAUUUAGCCAUUUUACAAAUGCGAAAGGUUGGUAAACGGAUGUCUAUUUUUAGGAUUCUCUGCACAGUGUGAAAACAAAAUACAGAGAUGCACACGUCUUGUGAAUCUACAGAAACUUUUAUAACGGAUAUGAGUGAGGAUGAAAAGGCAUGGUUGGAUCAAAUCAAG